GGUUCGGUUCAGCAUUCCGAAAUUCGGGACUUCGGCAAUUCGGCACGUCGGCAUGUCGACACUUCGGAACUUCGGCAACUUCGACACUUCGGAACUUCGCCACUUUGGAAUUUCGGUAACUUCGGCACUUCGACACUUCGGAACUUUGGAACUUCGGCAACUUCGGAACUUUGGAAUUUCGGAACUUGUCUUGCAGCCGCUUGGUAGAUAACUCCCUUAUUCCCACCAAUUUAGGCCUUUCAGCCACAUUUACUAAUACUAAGUAAAAAUGACUUAGUAUUAGUAAAUUUUGCCCCUACUCGCUAUACCGCGAGUAGGGGCAUGUCUAGUAAACAGUGAGUACUAAUUGGGGGGACCUAAUGUCCUCCCCCUUGGCCCCCACCCACCGAUCAGGGGUGGGGGCCCUAAAUACUAAUUGGGGGGGACCUGAUGUCCUCUCCCUGGCCCCCACCCCUGAGCGGUGGGUGGGAGCCCUAAAUUAGAAUGAGGGGGAGGACCUAAUGUCCCCACCCCUGAGCGGUGGGUGGGGGCCCUAAAUACUAAUUAGAGGGGAACCUAAUGUCCUCCCUCCUGGCCCCCACCCACCGCUCAGGGGUGGGGGCCCUAAAUACUAAUUGGGGGAACCUAAUGUCCUCUCCCUGGCCCACACCCCUGAGCGGUGGGUGGGAGCCCUAAAUUAGAAUGAGGGGGGAGGACCUAAUGUCCCCACCCCUGAGCGGUGGGCUGGGGCCCUAAAUACUAAUUAGAGGGGGAACCUAAUGUCCUCCCCCCUGGCCCCACCCACCGCUCAGGGGUGGGGGCCCUAAAUACUAAUUGGGGGGAACCUAAUGUCCUCCCUCUGGCCCCCACCCCUGAGCGGUGGGUGGGGGCCCUAAAUUAAAAUGAGGGGGAGGACCUAAUGUCCCCACCCCUGAGCGGUGGGUGGGGGCCCUAAAUACUAAUUAGGGGAGGAACCUAAUGUCCUACCCCCUGGCCCCUACCCAACGCUCAGGGAUGAGGACAUUAGGUACCCCCCUAAUUAGUAUUUAGGGCCCCCAUCCCCGCUCAGGGGUGGGGGCCAGGGAGGAGGACAUUUGGUCCCCCAAUGAGUAUUUAGGGCCCCACCAACGCUCAGGGGUGGGGGCCAGGGGAGAGGACAUUAGGUCCCCCCCAAUUAGUAUUUAGGGACCCCACCCACCGCUCAGUGGUGGGGGCCAGGGGGAGGACAUUAGGUCCCCCCUAAUUAAUUUUUUUUUUUACAGUGAGCAGCCACUGUUUACUAGACAUGCCCCUACUCGCAGUAUAGCGAGUAGGGGCAUAAUUUACUAAUACUAAGUAAUCUUUACUUAGUAUUAGUAAAUUUGGCUGAAAGACCAAUUUAGGUCUUUCAGCCUUUAAGUAGAUAGCUCCCUAAUACCAUGGGAAGUUAUCUACUUAUUCAUUCCUGUCAUUACAUGACUGGCUAAGUAACUUACAUUUUAUAUGAAUGUGUGUUACUUGAAUGUUGUAAGUGUUGCAAAUGCUUACAGCUGAAUCCUGGCUAUGUUUGUAUACUUUUAAUUUAAAAUUGUAUACAGUGUAACAUUCUUCUUCUUCCACUGGGUAAGUAUAUUAGUACUUAGGCAAAACUGUGCUUCGGAACUUUGUCAAUUCAGCACUUCGGCAACUUCGGCACUUCAGCACUUCGGCAAUUUCAGAAUUUCGGGACCUCGGUAAUUCGGCACUUCGGCUAUUCGGACAUUUGGAAGUACCCGAAUGUCCGAAUUGUCCGAAAUUCGUCCGAAUACAUAUUCGGCCCGAAACGAAUUGCACAUGUCUAAUAUUCUUUAUAUUUAUAAAAAGGGAGUUGCUGUUGUUUGCCACAUGUUCCAUGGUUCUGACAUUUUUUGAAGUCCUUCUGUUGGGGCUUGGAUGAAUAAAUAUUUCCCCUGAGAAUUGAAGUGCAGAAUAGAUUUAUCUUAAUUUUAUAUGAAUCCCAUUCUCCAUCAUCCCAAAAUAAAUUGAGUGUUUUUUUCCCACUGAAGUUAGUAUCCAUUUCUGAUAAUAUUUAAUAGAAUAUCUUUUAUUGUUACUUACUAAUUUUAGCUUUUUUUUUUUCUUUUUUAGUGACAAACUUCAGAAGCUUUCUAAGACCUUCAUGGACAAUCUCUUCAAUUCUUUUUAUAUACGGGAUGGCUAAACAAUGCAUUUCAAAAUAUUAAAUACUUUUUUACUGUAAAAGCUUGUAAAUGUGGUAUACAGGUUGAUUUAAUCAGCUGGAAAAAAACGAUAUGGAAGGUUUAUCAAAGUGUUCUGUUUCAAAAGUGGUGCAACAAUGUAAAAGGUAGAGGAAUCACCAAUGGAAUAUGCUAGAUCAACGUAACAUUUGCUUCAGCCAAAUUAGUUGUGGCGAAAAUACAAAUAAUUUCAGGAAUGACAAAUUUCAGUGCCUGCUGUUACAUUGGUUACCAUAGUGAUUGCCCCACUUUUAGUAUUUUUAAUCACUUUUUAGAACAGAACUCUUUGAUAAGUCUUCUCUAUACAUGUAUCAGGAAAAUGUUUGAUUUAUAGAUUCAUGAUUCAGAGACAAGAAAUUAUGUACUUUGAGUGAGCUCCAACAGUGCAAUACAAUAUAUGAAAGUUUAUUUGCAGGAUGUCUCAUCUCAGUCCAGGUAAAUUCCUUCUUUUUUUUAAAGAAGACCGACUUAUAUUUCUCUGAAGAAUUUUGAUUUCAAAUUAGAAAGACUAGUGCAUAUCAGGAAACACGAAAAUAGCAAUGUUUACAUUAGUUUAAAUAGGUUUAUAUAAGAACCUAUUUCAAGCUAACACGAAACAUAAAAAAUACCAAAAAUACACAGAUAGCAUAAGCGCUAGAGUGUCAACUGAGUAUAUGAUCAUCAUAUAUGAGAUAUGAUAGCAGGCAGCAAACACUAAUAGUAAGGGUUACCCUCAACUCCUUUCUGAAAGAUAUAGAAAAAACAAUAUACACAAAAUAUAGGUUGCAACAAUAUAAAGUCCUAUUAGUCCACAAUUGCUAGGGUCUGUUCUCUACUGGUAACCGUCCAGACUUCAAAUGGUGGGAGAAUAUGAACUAAAAGUAGAAAAUAACCAGUGAUGGUGCAGAGAGUAUGGAACUAGGUACAGGACUACAACAAUAAUUUAUAUGGUAUAUCACUCACAUUUAAGAGAGAUUUAAGACCAGCUCUGAGUUUAACAGAAUGCAGCGGUACAAUCCCCCCUGAUGACUAAGUAGAUCUGGAGGCUGGUGUCAGACAAUAGUCUUCACUGUAAUCAAUGUUAUAAUGGUUGUAAAAGUAAGACUAUUCUACUCACAUGUAGUAGAGCAGUAGAUCCUGCUCAGAUAAUAAUGCUUGGGUGGUAUAAUCCCCACCAGGGAUAUAAUGUUGGGUAGAUUCUUUAAGGAGUAGUAUUCCUUAUUAGUUAAGUUUUUUAGUGUCAGGAAUGGAAGUACAUUAAAAUAUAAUAAAGGCAACUAAAAGCAUAAAAAGUGUAAUAAAUGGACAAUGAAAACUAG
This is a non-coding RNA of Pelobates cultripes (western spadefoot toad), 3493 nucleotides long. Lineage: Eukaryota; Metazoa; Chordata; Amphibia; Anura; Pelobatidae. The record is from the annotation of a GenBank genome assembly.